GAAAGCUGCCAAGCGAAGGGC
Molecule: microRNA, 21 nt
Filed under: Fasciola hepatica (liver fluke)
Lineage: Eukaryota; Metazoa; Platyhelminthes; Trematoda; Plagiorchiida; Fasciolidae
Description: fhe-miR-745b
Gene: fhe-miR-745b
Source: miRBase by way of RNAcentral